Molecule: ribosomal RNA, 2751 nt
Filed under: Acrasis kona
Lineage: Eukaryota; Heterolobosea; Eutetramitea; Acrasida; Acrasidae
Description: partial 18S ribosomal RNA
Rfam family: Eukaryotic small subunit ribosomal RNA
Source: RNAcentral
UAACCUGGUUGAUCCUGCCAGUAAUAUAUGCUUGUCUCAAAGAUUAAGCCAUGCACAUGUAAGAUCGGCAUAGGUUUCUACUUCGGUAGUCACUCAUUGUUAAUCUGUGAACGGCUCAUUAUAACAGUUAUACUCGUAGCCACUGGUACGUAGGCGCAAGCCGAUAAGGAUAACAUUGUCAAAUGCAGCGAUAAUACUUGAUAGACGGACCGGUUCACGCCGGUUGGCAUUAGCGUACUUAUCUCACGAUCGUGAGGAAACCGCGCUACUGUGACUCUUGGCUAACUGUGGUUCUCCAUAAGUGGCCGGAGCGUCGACCAUCAGACGUGUGCAAACACACAUGGUUCUUUAAAUAGGGUUUUAAUAAGGCUCUGUUUUUUUAGCUGUGCUGGUGGCCAGGAAGACGAAUUUCUUAUCUAUCAGCUGAAGUUGUCUCAAUAGGGGUGAGACACGGCGAUUACGGAUUCGGAGAAUCAGUGUUUGAUUCCGGAGAGGGAGCCUUAAAAAUGGCUACUACAUCUAAGGACGGCAGCAGGCGCGAAAAUUGCCCAAUCUCAAUUCGAGGAGGCAGUGACAAGAAAUAACGGCUCUCCACCAUCUGGUGGGGAGGUACUAUUCAUAGUUUGGAAUGAUUUUAGAUUAAAAUUCUAUUAAAAAUGACUAGAGGAAGAGUCUGGUGCCAGCACCCGCGGUAAUUCCAGCUCUAGUAGCGUAUGUUAAUACUGUUGUAGUUAAAACGCUCGUAGUUGGCCUAAGGGCUAUGUGUUUUGUGUUCGGUGUCUGUUUAUCUCUAUGGGCUAACAUGUUAUAAUGUGGGCCUUGGAAGUAGACAUACUCCUUAAGUGACUAGUAAUCUCAUCGAAGUUUGCAGUCAUGGGCGCAUGUGCAUAGUCCGCUCUACGCCAAUGGUUCCAUUGGUGGUGGCAGUUUGAACAACUGUAAACAAAUCAGGGUGCUCAAAGCAGGCAUUGUUAGAGGCUUCUGUCUCGAUUUUGCUUGAAUGAUUUAGCAUGGGAUUGUCCUAUAGCUGUGUUUGGUUCCUGUCUUCGGGCAGGCUUCCAUGCACUGGCGCUCGUAACGUGAGCAAGGGAGAGGGCUCUGGAACUAUAGUGCUAGAGGUGAAAUUUAGAUACCGCUAUAUGUCUAUCUGAUGCGAAGGCUGUUAUAGUCCAGUACAUUUCAAUCGAUCAGGAACGAAAGUUAGGGGAUCGAAGAUGAUUAGAUACCGUCGUAGUCCUAACUAUAAACGAUACCAACAAGAGAUUGGCAGUGAAACCAUUUAUGAUCCUUUCAGAAUCCAAGGGAAACCUCAAGUUUUUGGGUUCUGGGGGGAGUUAAUCGAUUAGCUCCCAAGAGUGUUAUUAAUAACGCUAGUUUUUAUUGCCUUGACCAAGUCUGCAAUAAAUGCAACACCUUCAAAUUGAGGGGAAGCUCCAAGACCCUUUAUACCAAGUUGUAGUGCCAAUGCUAUAAUGACCGUGCUAAUGACCACGGGUAUGGUAAAAGCUAAAGGGAAAGGAACAAUCCUCAGCCACGUUCUCACAGAGGACGCAGUUCACAGACUAGAUGUUGGUGGGCCAAGUAUACUUGGCAUAAGAUAUAGUCGGUCUUGUAUGCAUGUACAAGUAACAACGAUAGUCGCAAGGCCGAAACUUAAAGGAAUUGACGGAAAGGCACCACCAGGAGUGGAGUUUGCGGCUUUUCAACGAAUUAGGCCGUUAAUGCGCUAGCCAAAACUAGUGCAAGUGGCACGUGCUGCUACACUUUCAAAUUGCUCGGAACUCCUACAACUCAAUAAUGCCGCCCAGCGCCGAAAAGGUUGCAUCGGGCACCACGCUGAAAGUCGUGGGUAUGGUGACUUAUUGAAUGGGAUAAUGAGCAGCAAAAUCCUGGCGUCUUGGCACAAGCUAAGACUGCUAUGGAUGCAGUUCACAGAUUAAACGGAAGUGGGCGUUCACAAGACGCUUAAGAUAUAUUCGGUCCCACCUGAGACGGUGCCCUAGAACCAAGCCCAACAAGGCCCGAGUCUAGGGAGGCUAAGCCCAUUGAUGAUGGAAUAGCUGGGAUUCAACGUAAUUCGACUCAACGCGGGAAAACUCACCAGGUCAGGACAAAGUAAUGAUUGACAGGUUGAUAGUCUUUUCUUGAUUCUUUGGAUGGUGGUGCAUGGCCGUUCUUAGUUCGUGGAGUGAUUUGUCUUGUUAAUUCAGUUAACGAACGAGACCUUAACCUACUAAAUAUGCUAUAAGCUGGGUCUUCUGAUUCAGUCCGUUUCUUCGAGUGCCUCGUAUGGGGUGCUCUCUGAAACUUAUAAACUGGGAUGUUAUCUUCUGAUAUCCUCUCUGCUUCUUAGAGGAACAAUACUUCGUUUUUUUAGAGUAAGGAAGUUUAAGGCAAUAACAGGUCUGUAAUGCCCCUAGAUGUCCUGGGCAGCACGCGUACUACACUGUUAAUACUAACAAGCUGUACAAAGUAACCACUCUUGUGGCUACUAGCCUUCUCCUUAAAGGAGUGGGGAAUCUUUUCAAACAUUAACGUGACAGGGAUAGCUGUUUGGAAAUCCAUCUUGAACGAGGAAUUCCUAGUAAUCGCGAUUCAUCAUAUCGCAUUGAUUACGUCCCUGCCUUUUGUACACACCGCCCGUCGCUCCUACCGAUGGAAUGAGCAGGUGAAUUUGACGGACAGGGCUUUUCUGCUUUGGAAAUUAACUGAACCUUUUUAUUUGUAGGAAGGAGAAGUCGUUAACAAGGU